UACGGAGGUUCCAAGCGUUGUUCGGAAUUACUGGGCGUAAAGGGAGCGCAGGCGGAACAGUAAGUCUAAAGUGGAAUCCCGGGGCUCAACCUCGGACGUGCUUUGGAUACUGUUGUUCUUGAGUUCGCGAGAGGAAAGCGGAAUUCAGGGUGUAGCGGUGAAAUGCUUAGAUAUCCUGAGGAACACCAAUGGCGAAAGCAGCUUUCUAGCGCGUUACUGACGCUGAGGCUCGAAAGCGUGGGGAGCGAACGGG
This 253-nucleotide unclassified non-coding RNA is filed under the name uncultured Hydrogenedentota bacterium. Its description in RNAcentral is "uncultured Hydrogenedentes bacterium contains 16S-23S intergenic spacer region". It matches the Rfam family "Bacterial small subunit ribosomal RNA", at positions 524 to 776 of the family's 1533-position model. The record is from RNAcentral. Lineage: Bacteria; Pseudomonadati; Candidatus Hydrogenedentota.